RNAcentral lists this unclassified non-coding RNA (390 nucleotides) under soil metagenome. RNAcentral describes it as "partial contains 5.8S ribosomal RNA, internal transcribed spacer 2, and large subunit ribosomal RNA". The stretch from base 1 to 120 matches the Rfam family "5.8S ribosomal RNA", at positions 35 to 154 of the family's 154-position model. The record is from RNAcentral.
GAUGAAGAACGCAGCGAAGUGCGAUAAGUAGUGUGAAUUGCAGAAUUCCGUGGAUCAUCGAAUUUUUGAACGCAAAUUGCACUCUCUGGUAUUCCGGAGAGUAUGCCUGUUUGAGGGUCAUUAAAAUCAAAAUCGAUUUGUUUACUUUGGUAACUUGGUAACAUUUUCGGAAUUGGGUCAUCUUAAACCUUCAGGUUCAAGAGGCUUAAAAUUGAUCAUUUUUUGGUAUGAAUUAAGCGUAUUUAGGAUCACUUAUCACGCGCUUGACUCCUAUCGGAUGUUUAUUAGGCGUGACCAUGAUCAUGGUUUCGCGCCCAUAAUCUUUCCAUGAAAUGACCUCAAAUCAGGUAGGAAUACCCGCUGAACUUAAGCAUAUCAAUAAGCGGAGGA